RNAcentral lists this non-coding RNA (85 nucleotides) under Blautia producta. RNAcentral's name for it is "Glycine riboswitch". It matches the Rfam family "Glycine riboswitch aptamer", at positions 9 to 86 of the family's 94-position model. From Rfam's summary of the family: This family represents the bacterial glycine riboswitch. Lineage: Bacteria; Bacillati; Bacillota; Clostridia; Lachnospirales; Lachnospiraceae. The record is from RNAcentral.
GGCUCUGGAGAGUCUCAAGUAAGAGCGCCGAAGGUGUACGGCAGUUUCAUUAGCUGCCAAUCUCUCAGGCAAAAGGACAGAGUAU